UACAGAGGGGGCAAGCGUUAUUCAUAGUAAUUGGGCGUAAAGCGUGUUUGAAUGGUUAUAGAACGUUGCUUGUGAAAGCCUAGAAUUUUCUUUUAGAGAAGUAAGUAAUACAAAGAUAACUCGAGUUAAGCUGAGGUUUUGUGGAACAAGGAGGUGUAGGGGUAAAAUCCAACGAUAUCCCAUGGAACGCCUUCACGUGAAGACAACUUUCUGGGUUUAACUGACGUUUGUACACGGAGGUCUGGGGCGCAAACAGG
RNAcentral lists this unclassified non-coding RNA (257 nucleotides) under uncultured bacterium. Its description in RNAcentral is "contains 16S-23S intergenic spacer region". It matches the Rfam family "Bacterial small subunit ribosomal RNA", at positions 524 to 776 of the family's 1533-position model. The record is from RNAcentral.